GUUAAAAAGCUCGUAGUUGGAUCUCGGCGAACAGGGGGCGGUUCGUUAUUUGACGGUACUGCCCCAUUUGUUCGUAUUUUUGCAAGAGGGUUGGGGGUCCCCUUUGUUGGGUGUCUCCGGUCGCUUGCAGGUUUACUUUGAAAAAAUUAGAGUGCUCAAAGCAGGCUUACACGCUUGAAUAUUCGUGCAUGGAAUAAUAGAAUAGGAAGUCGUUUCUAUUUUGUUGGUUUUCGGAAAAUGACUUAAUGAUUAAUAGGGACAAUCGGGGGCAUUAGUAUUCAAACGACAGAGGUGAAAUUCUUGGACCGUUUGAAGACUAACUACUGCGAAAGCAUUUGCCAAGAGUGUUUUCAUUAAUCAAGAACGAAAGUUAGAGGUUCGAAGGCGAUCAGAUACCGCCCUAGUUCUAACCAUAAACGAUGCCAGCUAGCGAUCUGCGGGUGUGUAAAAACAAGACCCCGCAGGGAGCUUCCGGGAAACCAAAGCUUGUGGGUUCCGGGGGAAGUAUGGUUGCAAAG
RNAcentral lists this ribosomal RNA (518 nucleotides) under uncultured marine eukaryote. RNAcentral's name for it is "SSU rRNA". It matches the Rfam family "Eukaryotic small subunit ribosomal RNA", at positions 618 to 1136 of the family's 1831-position model. The record is from RNAcentral.